This 68-nucleotide transfer RNA is filed under the name Epiplatys spilargyreius. RNAcentral describes it as "tRNA-Glu". It matches the Rfam family "tRNA". Rfam says of the family: Transfer RNA (tRNA) molecules are approximately 80 nucleotides in length. Their secondary structure includes four short double-helical elements and three loops (D, anti-codon, and T loops). RNAcentral also lists the same sequence under 1 other name. The record is from RNAcentral. Lineage: Eukaryota; Metazoa; Chordata; Actinopteri; Cyprinodontiformes; Nothobranchiidae.
GUUUCUGUAGUUGAAUACAACGGUGGUUUUUCAAGUCGCUGGUCUUGGUUAAAAUCCUAGUAGAAACU